UGGCAGACGGGUGAGUAACACGUGGGAACAUACCCUUCGGUUCGGAAUAACUCAGGGAAACUUGAGCUAAUACCGGAUACGUUCGCGAGAAGAAAGAUUCAUCGCCGAAGGAUUGGCCCGCGUCUGAUUAGCUAGUUGGUGAGGUAACGGCUCACCAAGGCGACGAUCAGUAGCUGGUCUGAGAGGAUGAUCAGCCACAUUGGGACUGAGACACGGCCCAA
Molecule: ribosomal RNA, 221 nt
Filed under: uncultured bacterium
Lineage: Bacteria
Description: partial 16S ribosomal RNA
Rfam family: Bacterial small subunit ribosomal RNA
Source: RNAcentral